This 72-nucleotide transfer RNA is filed under the name Cuculus canorus (common cuckoo). RNAcentral describes it as "tRNA-Ile". The record is from RNAcentral. Lineage: Eukaryota; Metazoa; Chordata; Aves; Cuculiformes; Cuculidae.
GGAAAUGGGGCUGGAUACCAAGGAACACUAUGAAAAAGGGGACCUAGAGGGAUACCCGCCCUCUCAUUUCCU